ACCCGGCCGCUCCAGUCCAGUCGUGCAGGCGGCGCGCUCUUUCUCGCUCCGCUCAAGUCCGGGAACCGGUUCCCGGGCUCCCAGCCUCUCGGCAGCGCCCAGGGACCUGGGCCACAGUCCGCGAACGGAAGCCGGCGGCGAGGAGGAUUCUGGGAGUUGGAGGCCGAGGCUGCUACCUGCGCAGGCGCAAACCUGCAGCUGGGGUGAGGGCUGUAAGUGGCGCGAUUCGCGGCAGCGCCCCGAUGGAACCUCCUGGUCCUGUGACGGUACACAGGGACAAGAGAAGAUGAUGAUGAUGGGACCAAAGGAAGAGGAACAGUCUUGUGAGUAUGAGACCAGGCUACCUGGGAACCACUCUACCAGUCAAGAGAUCUUCCGCCAACGCUUCAGGCAUCUCCGCUACCAGGAGACUCCUGGUCCCCGGGAGGCCUUGAGCCAACUACGAGUACUCUGCUGUGAGUGGCUGAGGCCAGAGAAACACACGAAGGAGCAGAUCCUGGAGUUCCUGGUGCUGGAACAAUUCUUGACCAUCCUGCCUGAGGAGCUCCAAUCCUGGGUGCGGGGACAUCACCCUAAGAGUGGAGAGGAGGCUGUGACUGUGCUGGAGGAUUUAGAGAAAGGACUUGAACCAGAGCCGCAGGUGGGAAGGGGGAUUUGGUCUGUUAUGGGAGCCAGAUUGAUGACCUUCAGGCUGGACCGAGGGGCAGCUGUAGGGGGAGGUGCCAAGUUCAAACCUCUCUUGGGCCAGGUAGAGCAGUUAGUAUGUGUUUCUGUGUCUGUCUUUUCUGCCCUCGAGCCCUGAAUGAGAAAGAGACUCUAGCUCCUCUUCUUCCCUCGUGCUGACUCUGAGGAGGCUCUCUAAAGUCUCCUUGGAAGCUUUGGUCCAAGGAGGGUCACAUCUGCAAGUGUCCAGGCAGGGGACAGAAACCACACUAGUAAUUUGAAGAAAAUUUAAACUGAGUGGUGCCUGAUCACCUCCAGGUCCCAGGCCCUGCACAUGGACCUGCACAGGAAGAGCCAUGGGAGAAGAAGGAGUCUCUGGGAGCAGCCCAGGAAGCACUGAGCAUCCAGCUCCAGCCUAAGGAGACCCAGCCUUUCCCAAAGAGUGAACAGGUAUAUUUACAUUUUCUGUCAGUUGUUACAGAAGAUGGCCCAGAGCCCAAGGACAAAGGAUCAUUGCCACAACCACCCAUUACUGAAGUGGAAUCACAGGUGUUCUCAGAAAAACUUGCUACUGACACCUCCACAUUUGAAGCUACCUCUGAGGGUACCUUAGAACUGCAGCAGAGAAAUCCCAAAGCGGAGAGACUGAGGUGGUCCCCUGCCCAGGAGAAAAGUUUCAGGCAGAUGGUUGUCAUCCAUAAGGAAAUUCCCACAGGGAAGAAAGACCAUGAAUGUAGUGAAUGUGGUAAAACCUUCAUUUAUAACUCACAUCUUGUUGUCCACCAGAGAGUCCAUUCUGGAGAGAAACCCUAUAAGUGUAGUGACUGUGGGAAAACUUUCAAACAGAGCUCAAACCUCGGUCAGCAUCAGAGAAUUCAUACAGGAGAGAAACCCUUCGAAUGUAAUGAAUGUGGGAAGGCCUUCAGAUGGGGUGCUCAUCUUGUUCAGCAUCAGAGGAUUCACUCAGGAGAGAAGCCCUAUGAGUGUAAUGAGUGUGGGAAGGCCUUUAGUCAAAGCUCAUAUCUAAGUCAGCAUCGGAGAAUUCACAGUGGAGAGAAACCUUUUAUAUGUAAAGAAUGUGGGAAAGCUUAUGGAUGGUGCUCAGAGCUCAUUAGACAUCGGAGAGUUCAUGCCAGAAAAGAGCCUUCCCAUUGAAUUGAAGGGGAGAACGUCUCCAGACAGAAUUCUACAUUGGUCUAAUCUACUUUAGGACUGGAUCCCAUAAAAGUUAUAAGUUCCUUAAG
This 1907-nucleotide small RNA is filed under the name Pan troglodytes (chimpanzee). RNAcentral describes it as "retained intron". The record is from RNAcentral. Lineage: Eukaryota; Metazoa; Chordata; Mammalia; Primates; Hominidae.